RNAcentral lists this ribosomal RNA (253 nucleotides) under uncultured bacterium. RNAcentral's name for it is "partial 16S ribosomal RNA". It matches the Rfam family "Bacterial small subunit ribosomal RNA", at positions 524 to 776 of the family's 1533-position model. The record is from RNAcentral.
UACGUAGGGUGCAAGCGUUAAUCGGAAUUACUGGGCGUAAAGGGCGUGUAGGCGGCCUGCUAAGUCGAACGUGAAAUCCCCGAGCUCAACUCGGGAACUGCGUCCGAUACUGGCAGGCUUGAAUCCGGGAGAGGGAUGCGGAAUUCCAGGUGUAGCGGUGAAAUGCGUAGAUAUCUGGAGGAACACCGGUGGCGAAGGCGGCAUCCUGGACCGGCAUUGACGCUGAGGCGCGCAAGCCAGGGGAGCAAACGGG